CCUACGGGUGGCAGCAGUCGAGAAUCAUUCACAAUGGGGGAAACCCUGAUGGGGCGACGCCGCGUGGGGGAAUGAAGGUCUGCGGAUUGUAAACCCCUGUCAUGUGGGAGCAAAUUAAAAAGAUAGUACCACAAGAGGAAGAGACGGCUAACUCUGCGCCAGCAGCCGCGGUAAUACAGAGGUCUCAAGCGUUGUUCGGAACCACUGGGCGUAAAGCGUGCGUAGGCUGUUUCGUAAGUCGUGUGUGAAAGGCGCGGGCUCAACCCGCGGACGGCACAUGAUACUGCGAGACUAGAGUGAUGGAGAGGGAACCGGAAUUCUCGGUGUAGCAGUGAAAUGCGUAGAUAUCGAGAGGAACACUCGUGGCGAAGGCGGGUUCCUGGACAUUAACUGACGCUGAGGCACGAAGGCCAGGGGAGCGAAAGGGAUUAGAUACCCUAGUAGUC
This 446-nucleotide ribosomal RNA is filed under the name uncultured bacterium. RNAcentral's name for it is "partial 16S ribosomal RNA". It matches the Rfam family "Bacterial small subunit ribosomal RNA", at positions 338 to 795 of the family's 1533-position model. The record is from RNAcentral.